Molecule: ribosomal RNA, 489 nt
Filed under: uncultured bacterium
Lineage: Bacteria
Description: bacterial SSU rRNA
Rfam family: Bacterial small subunit ribosomal RNA
Source: RNAcentral
GAUGAACGCUAGCGAUAGGCCUAACACAUGCAAGUCGAGGGGCAGCACAUGAGUAGCAAUACGAUGGUGGCGACCGGCGCACGGGUGAGUAACACGUAUGCAACCUACCUCUAACAGGGGGAUAACCCGUUGAAAGACGGACUAAUACCCCAUAAUACAGGGGCUCCGCAUGGAGAUAUUUGUUAAAGAUUUUAUCGGUUAGAGAUGGGCAUGCGUUCCAUUAGCUAGUUGGUGAGGUAACGGCUCACCAAGGCGACGAUGGAUAGGGGAACUGAGAGGUUUAUCCCCCACACUGGAACUGAGACACGGUCCAGACUCCUACGGGAGGCAGCAGUGAGGAAUAUUGGUCAAUGGGGGCAACUCUGAACCAGCCAAGUCGCGUGAAGGAUGAAGGUCUUAUGGAUUGUAAACUUCUUUUGCAGGGGAAUAAAUAGCGGUACGUGUACCGUUUUGCAUGUACCCUGCGAAUAAGGAUCGGCUAACUCCGUG